Molecule: ribosomal RNA, 301 nt
Filed under: uncultured bacterium
Lineage: Bacteria
Description: partial 16S ribosomal RNA
Rfam family: Bacterial small subunit ribosomal RNA
Source: RNAcentral
CAGUCGCCGCGGGAAUACGUAGGGUGCGAGCGUUAAUCGGAAUUACUGGGCGUAAAGCGUGCGCAGGCGGUUUUGUAAGACAGGCGUGAAAUCCCCGGGCUCAACCUGGGAAUGGCGCUUGUGACUGCAAAGCUAGAGUGCGGCAGAGGGGGAUGGAAUUCCGCGUGUAGCAGUGAAAUGCGUAGAUAUGCGGAGGAACACCGAUGGCGAAGGCAAUCCCCUGGGCCUGCACUGACGCUCAUGCACGAAAGCGUGGGGAGCAAACAGGAUUAGAUACCCCAGUAGUCCCUGUCUCUUAUAA